This is a small nuclear RNA of Camelus dromedarius (Arabian camel), 107 nucleotides long. The record is from Ensembl. NCBI's taxonomy places the organism in Eukaryota, Metazoa, Chordata, Mammalia, Artiodactyla, Camelidae.
GUGCUCGCUUCGGCAGCACAUACACUAACACUGGAACAAUGCAGAGGAGGUUAGCUUGGCCCCUGCAUAAGGAUGACAUGCAAUUUCAUGAAGCAUUCCAUAUUUAU